Molecule: ribosomal RNA, 393 nt
Filed under: uncultured bacterium
Lineage: Bacteria
Description: partial 16S ribosomal RNA
Rfam family: Bacterial small subunit ribosomal RNA
Source: RNAcentral
AUACGGAGGAUGCGAGCGUUAUCCGGAUUUAUUGGGUUUAAAGGGAGCGUAGGUGGGAUAUUAAGUCAGCUGUGAAAGUUUGGGGCUCAACCUUAAAAUUGCAGUUGAUACUGGUUUCCUUGAGUACGGUACAGGUGGGCGGAAUUCGUGGUGUAGCGGUGAAAUGCUUAGAUAUCACGAAGAACUCCGAUCGCGAAGGCAGCUCACCGGGCCGGAACUGACACUGAUGCUCGAAAGUGCGGGUAUCAAACAGGAUUAGAUACCCUGGUAGUCCGCACAGUAAACGAUGAAUACUCGCUGUUUGCGAUAUAAUGUCGGAGGCAAAGCGAAAGCGAUAAGUAUUCCACCUGGGGAGUACGCCGGCAACGGUGAAACUUAAAGGAAUUGACGGGG